UGUAGUCUGCAACCCGACUACACGAAGCUGGAAUCGCUAGUAAUCGCGAAUCAGAAUGUCGCGGUGAAUACGUUCCCGGGUCUUGUACACACCGCCCGUCACACCAUGGGAGUCGGGAAUGCCCGAAGUCAGUGACCCAACCUAUUGGAGGGAGCUGCCGAAGGCAGGUCUGAUAACUGGGGUGAAGUCGUAACAAGGUACC
This 202-nucleotide ribosomal RNA is filed under the name uncultured bacterium. Its description in RNAcentral is "partial 16S ribosomal RNA". It matches the Rfam family "Bacterial small subunit ribosomal RNA", at positions 1299 to 1500 of the family's 1533-position model. The record is from RNAcentral.